GGCUUGACGUUUUGGAAACACUGGGUCUUGAAUACCCACUUUAGAUGUUCAAAUCAUCUUCAA
This 63-nucleotide transfer RNA is filed under the name Octodriloides boninoi. RNAcentral describes it as "partial tRNA-Ser". The record is from RNAcentral. Lineage: Eukaryota; Metazoa; Annelida; Clitellata; Crassiclitellata; Lumbricidae.